GACGAACGCUGGCGGCGUGCUUAACACAUGCAAGUCGAACGGAAAGGCCCUGCUUUUGUGGGGUGCUCGAGUGGCGAACGGGUGAGUAACACGUGAGUAACCUGCCCUUGACUUUGGGAUAACUUCAGGAAACUGGGGCUAAUACCGGAUAGGAGCCCCUGCUGCAUGGUGGGGGUUGGAAAGUUUCGGCGGUUGGGGAUGGACUCGCGGCUUAUCAGCUUGUUGGUGGGGUAGUGGCUUACCAAGGCUUUGACGGGUAGCCGGCCUGAGAGGGUGACCGGCGACAUUGGUACUGAGGUACGGCCCAGACUCCUACGGGAGGCAGCAGUGGGGAAUAUUGCACAAUGGGCGGAAGCCUGAUGCAGCGACGCCGCGUGCGGGAUGACGGCCUUCGGGUUGUAAACCGCUUUCGCCUGUGACGAAGCGUGAGUGACGGUAAUGGGUAAAGAAGCACCGGCUAACUACGUG
This 468-nucleotide ribosomal RNA is filed under the name uncultured bacterium. RNAcentral describes it as "partial 16S ribosomal RNA". It matches the Rfam family "Bacterial small subunit ribosomal RNA", at positions 28 to 507 of the family's 1533-position model. The record is from RNAcentral.